UAGCCGUAAACGAUACUCGCUAGGUGUCGGCCACGGUGCGACCGUUGUCGGUGCCGUAGGGAAGCCGUGAAGCGAGCCACCUGGGAAGUACGGCCGCAAGGCUGAAACUUAAAGGAAUUGGCGGGGGAGCACAACAACGGGUGGAGCUUGCGGUUUAAUUGGAUUCAACGCCGGAAAUCUUACCGGGACCGACAGCAACAUGAAGGCCAAGCUGAAGACCUUGCCGGAUUAGCUGAGAGGAGGUGCAUGGCGUAGUCGUGU
RNAcentral lists this ribosomal RNA (261 nucleotides) under uncultured archaeon. RNAcentral's name for it is "partial 16S ribosomal RNA". It matches the Rfam family "Archaeal small subunit ribosomal RNA", at positions 748 to 1009 of the family's 1478-position model. The record is from RNAcentral.